GGGCUCGUGGUCCAGCUGGCUAAGACGCUUCCCUCACGCGGAAGAAAUCGCCGGUUCAAAUCCGGCCGAGCCCA
Molecule: transfer RNA, 74 nt
Filed under: Candidatus Bathyarchaeota archaeon
Lineage: Archaea; Thermoproteati; Candidatus Bathyarchaeota
Description: tRNA-Val
Rfam family: tRNA
About the family: Transfer RNA (tRNA) molecules are approximately 80 nucleotides in length.
Source: RNAcentral